RNAcentral lists this ribosomal RNA (1258 nucleotides) under Serratia marcescens. RNAcentral's name for it is "bacterial SSU rRNA". It matches the Rfam family "Bacterial small subunit ribosomal RNA", at positions 202 to 1462 of the family's 1533-position model. Lineage: Bacteria; Pseudomonadati; Pseudomonadota; Gammaproteobacteria; Enterobacterales; Yersiniaceae. The record is from RNAcentral.
GCUAGAGUGUGCCCCAGAAUGGGGAUUAAGCUAGUUAGGUUGGGUAAUGCUACCCUAGGCGACGAUUCUAGCCUGUUCUGAGAGGAUGACCCAGCACACUGAAACUGAGAACACCGUCCAGACUCCCUACGGGAGGGCAGCAGUGGGGAAUAUUGCACCAUGGGCGGCAGCCUGAUGCAGCCAUGCCGCGUGAUUGAGAAGGCCUUUCGGGUUGUAAAGCACUUUCAGCGAGGAGGAAGGUGGUGAGCUUAAUAACGCUCAUCAAUUGACGUUACUCGCAGAAGAAGCACCGGGCUAACUCCGUGCCAGCAGCCGCGGUAAUACGGAGGGUGCUAGCGUUAAUCGGAAUUACUGGGCGUAAAGCGCACGCAGGCGGUCUGUCAAGUCAGAUGUGAAAUCCCCGGGCUCAACCUGGGAACUGCAUUUGAAACUGGCAAGCUAGAGUCUCGUAGAGGGGGGUAGAAUUCCAGGUGUAGCGGUGAAAUGCGUAGAGAUCUGGAGGAAUACCGGUGGCGAAGGCGGCCCCCUGGACGAAGACUGACGCUCAGGUGCGAAGCGUGGGGAGCAAACAGGAUUAGAUACCCUGGUAGUCCACGCUGUAAACGAUGUCGAUUUGGAGGUUGUUCCCUUGAGGAGUGGCUUCCGGAGCUAACGCGUUAAAUCGACCGCCUGGGGAGUACGGCCGCAAGGUUAAAACUCAAAUGAAUUGACGGGGGCCCGCACAAGCGGUGGAGCAUGUGGUUUAAUUCGAUGCAACGCGAAGAACCUUACCUACUCUUGACAUCCAGAGAACUUAGCAGAGAUGGUUUGGUGCCUUCGGGAACUCUGAGACAGGUGCUGCAUGGCUGUCGUCAGCUCGUGUUGUGAAAUGUUGGGUUAAGUCCCGCAACGAGCGCAACCCUUAUCCUUUGUUGCCAGCGGUUCGGCCGGGAACUCAAAGGAGACUGCCAGUGAUAAACUGGAGGAAGGUGGGGAUGACGUCAAGUCAUCAUGGCCCUUACGAGUAGGGCUACACACGUGCUACAAUGGCGCAUACAAAGAGAAGCGACCUCGCGAGAGCAAGCGGACCUCAUAAAGUACGUCGUAGUCCGGAUUGGAGUCUGCAACUCGACUCCAUGAAGUCGGAAUCGCUAGUAAUCGUAGAUCAGAAUGCUACGGUGAAUACGUUCCCUGGCCUUGUACACUCCGCCCGUCACACCAUGGGAGUGGGUUGCAAAAGAAGUAGUAAGCUUAAUCUCGCGAGGGCUGCAUAGCACUC